GGCUUCUUAGCUCAGUUGGUAGAGCGUCUAGGUGAAAACUAGAAGGUCCCCAGUUCAAGUCUGGGAGUAGCCA
This 73-nucleotide transfer RNA is filed under the name Arthrobacter sp. BA34(2011). RNAcentral describes it as "tRNA-Phe". It matches the Rfam family "tRNA". From Rfam's summary of the family: Transfer RNA (tRNA) molecules are approximately 80 nucleotides in length. Their secondary structure includes four short double-helical elements and three loops (D, anti-codon, and T loops). Lineage: Bacteria; Bacillati; Actinomycetota; Actinomycetes; Micrococcales; Micrococcaceae. RNAcentral also lists the same sequence under 1 other name. The record is from RNAcentral.